ACACAAAGCAGACUUUGGCCUCAGCACCUGAUGAUUUUGAAGGAAAACAUUAGGACUGCCAGGAGGCAGUGACCUUUAAUCCCGCUGCUUUCGUUUGAGCUUUAUUAUAGAGCAGGAAGGGCUUAAGCGCCCUGGGAAGACAGGUACAAACAAGGAUAUGGGCUGAGAGGAAGUGCUAACUGGGAUGUCACCUUUGGACUCAAAUAUGAAGGAGGGCUCCAUGGACAGUCUGCAUGAGGUGGUGAGGGACGCUGGAGAGACGCAUGUCUCCACCGACUCCAGGAGAUCCAGCAGCUCUGCUGAGCUUCUCAACAGCGCUCGGUGUUCAAGAGCCACGUCUGUGGAUAUUUCACAAAUCAGCUCCACUAAUUCCAAAAGAAAAAAAGAAGGUACAUUUAUUGCUUCGUGCAGUUUUUAUUAUUUUUAUUUAUUUAUUAUAUUUAUUUUUUUUAGCACAGAGCGCUCUCAGAAUAUAGAUUCAUUGUUGUGGAAUAAAAUUUCUUUACAGAACCUCGUAUCAUCCUGAAGACAAUGCUGCAUUAAACACAUCCUCUUUACGCAGAUUCCUUUAAUCCUCUUCACAUCGAACCCCCCUACAAGCUAUCUGUUUGUCCUAUCCUUCCUUAGUACGCAUGGAAGGAAAAAAUGUGACA
Molecule: long non-coding RNA, 653 nt
Organism: Ictalurus punctatus (channel catfish)
Lineage: Eukaryota; Metazoa; Chordata; Actinopteri; Siluriformes; Ictaluridae
Source: Ensembl